This is a small nuclear RNA of Loxodonta africana (African savanna elephant), 102 nucleotides long. NCBI's taxonomy places the organism in Eukaryota, Metazoa, Chordata, Mammalia, Proboscidea, Elephantidae. The record is from Ensembl.
UUGCUUCAGCAGCAUGUAUACUAAAAUUGGAACAAUACAGAGAAGAUUAGCAUGGUCCUGCUCCAGGAUGACAUGCAAACUCCUGAAGUGUCCCAUAUUCUU